This 59-nucleotide microRNA precursor is filed under the name Pteropus alecto (black flying fox). Its description in RNAcentral is "microRNA pal-mir-105 precursor (pal-mir-105-1)". Its record names the gene pal-mir-105-1. Lineage: Eukaryota; Metazoa; Chordata; Mammalia; Chiroptera; Pteropodidae. The record is from miRBase by way of RNAcentral.
UAAAAUGCUCUGACUCCUGUGGUGGCCGCUAAUGCACCACGGAUGUUCGAGCAUGUGCU